Molecule: ribosomal RNA, 466 nt
Filed under: uncultured bacterium
Lineage: Bacteria
Description: partial 16S ribosomal RNA
Rfam family: Bacterial small subunit ribosomal RNA
Source: RNAcentral
GACGAACGCUGGCGGCGUGCUUAACACAUGCAAGUCGAGCGAAAAGGCCCUGAUUGCUGGGCACUCGAGUGGGGAACGGGUGCGUAAUACGUGGGUUAUCAGCCUUCCACUUUGAGAUAAGCAUAGGCUAGAAACUCUAGUAAUGACCAUGAUCAACUGUCAAUCGGUGGUUUGGGGAAUGAUUUUGCGGUGGUGGAUGGAUGAGAGGCCUAUCAGCUUGUUGGUGAGGUAAUGGCGUACGAAGGCGACGCCAGAUAGCCGACCUGAGAGCGUCAUCGGCCGCACGGGGACAAGGAGACGGCACAGAGUCGUACGGGAGGCAGCAGUGGAAAAUAUUGACCAAUGCGCGCAAGUCUGAUGCAGCGACGCCGCGUGAGGAAAGACGGCCUUCUCGUUGUAAAACUCUUUCACCGGCGACGAGGCGUGAGUGACGGUACCUGGAGAAGAAGCACCGGCAAACUACGUG